Non-coding RNA from Podarcis lilfordi (Lilford's wall lizard), 73 nucleotides. NCBI's taxonomy places the organism in Eukaryota, Metazoa, Chordata, Lepidosauria, Squamata, Lacertidae. The record is from the annotation of a GenBank genome assembly.
GUCCAGGGAGCUCAGCUGGUAGAGCAGGAGACUCGCAGCCUCAGGGUCAUGGGUUCAAGCCCCACAUUGGGCA